Molecule: ribosomal RNA, 497 nt
Filed under: uncultured bacterium
Lineage: Bacteria
Description: partial 16S ribosomal RNA
Rfam family: Bacterial small subunit ribosomal RNA
Source: RNAcentral
GAUGAACGCUGGCGGCGUGCCUAAUACAUGCAAGUCGAGCGAACGGACGAGAAGCUUGCUUCUCUGAUGUUAGCGGCGGACGGGUGAGUAACACGUGGAUAACCUACCUAUAAGACUGGGAUAACUUCGGGAAACCGGAGCUAAUACCGGAUAAUAUUUUGAACCGCAUGGUUCAAAAGUGAAAGACGGUCUUGCUGUCACUUAUAGAUGGAUCCGCGCUGCAUUAGCUAGUUGGUAAGGUAACGGCUUACCAAGGCAACGAUGCAUAGCCGACCUGAGAGGGUGUACGGCCACACUGGAACUGAGACACGGUCCAGACUCCGACGGGAGGCAGCAGUAGGGAAUCUUCCGCGAUGGGCGAAAGACUGACGGAGCAACGCCGCGUUAGUGAUGAAGGUCUUCGGAUCGGAAAACUCUGUUAGUAGGGAAGAACAUAUGUGUAAGUAACUGUGCACAUCUUGACGGUACCUAAUCAGAAAGCCACGGCUAACUACGUG